Molecule: long non-coding RNA, 968 nt
Filed under: Papio anubis (olive baboon)
Lineage: Eukaryota; Metazoa; Chordata; Mammalia; Primates; Cercopithecidae
Description: lncRNA (ENSPANG00000051078.1)
Source: RNAcentral
GGAGCUGCAGAGGCCCGAGGGGCUGCCCUGGUCACACAGCAGGGCUGGGCUGCCCUCUGGGCAACAUCUACAGAGACCUCAUGGAGCCUUCCCUGGACCCGUGGUUGGGGUCAUGGCGCCAUCUUGGAGCCUUCCCUGAACCCGUGGCUGGGGUCAUGGAGCCAUCUUGGAGCCUUCCCUGGACCCGUGGCUGGGGUCAUGGUGUCAUCUUGGAGCCUUCCCCAGACCCCAUGAUUGGGGUCACUUGUUUUCUCCUCUCUCUUCUUGGUUAUCAUGUUUCCACUGAGCACCUGCCACAUUCAGAUGGCGAGGGUGGCCACACCUUAUCCGCCUCCCACAGCUCCAGUGGGGAAGGAGGAUGUCCAGGCAGCAGCAUGACUUUGUGACAACAGCUACAAGGAGAGAGACCUGAACCUCAGAUCUGCCACACACUGUGAAGCCUGGGCAGGUCUCUACCUUUUUGAGCUUCAGUGUCCUGACCAAGAACACAGGUAGCAACAUGUUUCCCAAGGCUGGGAAGCGGUGCUGUUUCAGCAAUUGCUCAUUUUCAGUUCCAGAGACACAAGAUCAAGUGCUACUUCCUAUCAGCUGGAGUCACUGCCCUGCUUGUCACCAUCAUCGUCAUCGUCACCUCUGUUCGAAAGUGAUGCCACCCGUGGUGAGUGCCCUACCUGCACCUACACCAUCCAUUCAUCUGCACAUCCACCAUCUAUUCAUUCACCUAUCCACCAUCCAUCUAACCAUCCACCUCCAUCCAUCUAUCCAUCUACCCAUUUAUCCACCCAUCUACCAUCCCUCUGCCCAUCCAUCCACCCAUCCACCAUCCAUCCAUCUAUCCAUCUGUCACCCAUCCAUCCAUCCACCCGCCACCAUCAAAUCCUUUCGUCCGUCCGCCGUCCAUCCGUCAGUCCGCCCGCAGUCCCGUCAUGCAAUCACUUGCGUCCACCAUCUGUCCGUCCGUCCAUCCG